GACGAACGCUGGCGGCGUGCUUAACACAUGCAAGUCGAACGAUGAAGUUCCUUCGGGAAUGGAUUAGUGGCGAACGGGUGAGAAACACGUGAGAAACCUGCCUUUCAUUUUGGGAUAACUCCGGGAAACCGGAGCUAACACCGAAUACUCCGUCUCGGCGGCAUCGCUGAGCCGGGAAAAAAUUUUGAUGAAAGAUGGUCUCGCGGCCUAUCAGCUAGUUGGUGAGGUAAUGGCUCACCAAGGCGACGACGGGUAGCCGGCUUGAGAGGGCGACCGGCCACACUGGGACUGAGACACGGCCCAGACUCCUACGGGAGGCAGCAGUGGGGAAUAUUGGGCAAUGGGCGCAAGCCUGACCCAGCGACGCCGCGUGAGGGAUGAAGGCCUUCGGGUUGUAAACCUCUUUCAGUAGGGAAGAAGCGAAAGUGACGGUACCUAAAGAAGAAGCACCGGCUAACUAUGUGCCAGCAGCCGCAGUAA
This 480-nucleotide ribosomal RNA is filed under the name uncultured bacterium. RNAcentral's name for it is "partial 16S ribosomal RNA". It matches the Rfam family "Bacterial small subunit ribosomal RNA", at positions 28 to 523 of the family's 1533-position model. The record is from RNAcentral.